RNAcentral lists this long non-coding RNA (199 nucleotides) under Physcomitrium patens. Its description in RNAcentral is "long non-coding RNA (PPAT_LNC009059)". The record is from RNAcentral. Lineage: Eukaryota; Viridiplantae; Streptophyta; Bryopsida; Funariales; Funariaceae.
UUCAAAUUUAUCUUUGAAUAUAUAAGAACUUGUAGUUAUAUAAGAAAUAUUAAGAAUAUUAUGUAAUGACUUAAGAUACAAGCAUUUUCUAAGUUGUUACACACACAUAGUUUAUUGUUAUAUGCACAUUCAAAAAAAUAUAGAGGUUUAUAAUUGACUAGGUUUUUUUAUAUCAAUUCUACCAACUAUUACAAUUGUA